RNAcentral lists this ribosomal RNA (402 nucleotides) under uncultured bacterium. RNAcentral's name for it is "bacterial SSU rRNA". It matches the Rfam family "Bacterial small subunit ribosomal RNA", at positions 355 to 774 of the family's 1533-position model. The record is from RNAcentral.
UGGGGAAUCUUGCACAAUGGGGGCAACCCUGAUGCAGCGACGCCGCGUGAGCGAUGAAGCCCUUCGGGGCGUAAAGCUCUUUCGACCGGAACGAUAAUGACGGUACCGGGAGAAGAAGCUGCGGCUAACUACGUGCCAGCAGCCGCGGUAAUACGUAGGCAGCAAGCGUUGUUCGGAGUUACUGGGCGUAAAGCGUGCGUAGGCGGUUUUCUAAGUUCGGUGUGAAAUCUCCCGGCUUAACUGGGAGGGUGCGCCGAAGACUGGGAAGCUGGAGUGUGGGAAAGGCAGGCGGAAUUCCUGGUGUAGCGGUGAAAUGCGUAGAUAUCAGGAGGAACACCGGCGGUGUAGACGGCUUGCUAGACCAUAACUGACGCUGGGGCACGAAAGCGUGGGUAGCAAACA